UACUUGGUUGAUCCUGCCAAGGAAGCACACUUAGGUCAUAGAUUAAGCCAUGCAAGUGUUAGUUCAGGUAACGAAACUGCGAAUAGCUCAUUAAUACGCUCAGAAUCUAUUUGGCGGCGACCAACAGGUCUUAAAUGGAUAGCAGCAGCAACUCUGGUGCUAAUACAUGCGAUUGUUUCUCCAGAUGUGAAUUAUGGAGGAAAAGUUGACCUCAUCAGAGGCACGCCAUUCGACUGAGUGACCUAUCAGCUUGUACUUAGGGUCUUUACCUAGGUAGGCUAUCACGGGUAACGGGCGGUUACUGUCGGACUGCCGGAGAAGGCGCCUGAGAGAUAGCGACUAUAUCCACGGGUAGCAGCAGGCGCGAAACUUUCCCACUCGAGACUUUCGGAGGAGGUAAUGACCAGUUCCAUUGGCGCCUUUUGGUACUGUGGAUAGGGGUACGGUUUUCCACGGUACCGAAACUUAGCAGAGGCCCAGUCUGGUGCCAGCAGCUGCGGUAAUCCCAGUUCUGCGAGUUUGCUCCCAUAUUGUGGCAGUUAAAACGCCCGUAGUCUGAAUUGGCCAGCAAUGGUCGUACGUAUUUUUACGUUCACUGUGAACAAAUCAGGACGCUUAGAGUAUGGCCACAUGAAUGACUCAGCGCAGUAUGAAGUCUUUGUUUUCUUCCGAAAACAAGCUCAAUGAGAGCCAUCGGGGGUAGAUCUAUCUCAUGACGAGUGGUGGAAUACUUUGACUCAUGAGAGAGAAGCUGAGGCGAAGGCGUCUACCUAGAGGGUUUCUGUCGAUCAAGGGCGAGAGUAGGAGUAUCCAACAGGAUUAGAGACCCUGGUAGUUCCUACCUUAAACGAUGCCGACAGGAGUUUGUCAUUUGUUAAUGGCAGAAUCUUUGGAGAAAUCAUAGUUCUUGGGCUCUGGGGGAACUACGACCGCAAGGC
Non-coding RNA from Trichomonas vaginalis G3, 938 nucleotides. The record is from Rfam. Lineage: Eukaryota; Parabasalia; Trichomonadida; Trichomonadidae.